RNAcentral lists this long non-coding RNA (268 nucleotides) under Mytilus galloprovincialis (Mediterranean mussel). Lineage: Eukaryota; Metazoa; Mollusca; Bivalvia; Mytilida; Mytilidae. The record is from RNAcentral.
GUCGAGAUUGAACCGACUGGGAAUAGAACCAACGCGGUUAAUUCACAGUUCAAGCUGAACAUCUCUAUCGAGAUACGUAAGUUAGUAUUUUACCUGAUGUUGGGUACAAUGACAUUUAAUAAUGUACGCACAGUCUAUAAACUAGUUUCUGAAAAUAAGCCUAACCCUAAAGAAACGACCAAGUUGCGUACAUAUUCGGAUAUUUUCAGGGGAAGACUUCAACAGCCCUAUUGGUUCGCACAUUCAUGGAAGCAAUUAGAUGGUAUAG